AUUGAACGCUGGCGGCAUGCUUUACACAUGCAAGUCGAACGGCAGCGCGGGGCAACCUGGCGGCGAGUGGCGAACGGGUGAGUAAUAUAUCGGAACGUACCCAAGAGUGGGGGAUAACGUAGCGAAAGUUACGCUAAUACCGCAUACGAUCUAAGGAUGAAAGUGGGGGAUCGCAAGACCUCAUGCUCCUGGAGCGGCCGAUAUCUGAUUAGCUAGUUGGUGAGGUAAAGGCUCACCAAGGCGACGAUCAGUAGCUGGUCUGAGAGGACGACCAGCCACACUGGAACUGAGACACGGUCCAGACUCCUACGGGAGGCAGCAGUGGGGAAUUUUGGACAAUGGGCGCAAGCCUGAUCCAGCAAUGCCGCGUGAGUGAAGAAGGCCUUCGGGUUGUAAAGCUCUUUUGUCAGGGAAGAAACGGUAGAGGCUAAUAUCCUUUGCUAAUGACGGUACCUGAAGAAUAAGCACCGGCUAACUACGUGCCAGCAGCCGCGGUAAUACGUAGGGUGCAAGCGUUAAUCGGAAUUACUGGGCGUAAAGCGUGCGCAGGCGGUUUUGUAAGUCUGUCGUGAAAGCCCCGGGCUCAACCUGGGAAUUGCGAUGGAGACUGCAAGGCUUGAAUCUGGCAGAGGGGGGUAGAAUUCCACGUGUAGCAGUGAAAUGCGUAGAGAUGUGGAGGAACACCGAUGGCGAAGGCAGCCCCCUGGGUCAAGAUUGACGCUCAUGCACGAAAGCGUGGGGAGCAAACAGGAUUAGAUACCCUGGUAGUCCACGCCCUAAACGAUGUCUACUAGUUGUCGGGUUUUAAUUAACUUGGUAACGCAGCUAACGCGUGAAGUAGACCGCCUGGGGAGUACGGUCGCAAGAUUAAAACUCAAAGGAAUUGACGGGGACCCGCACAAGCGGUGGAUGAUGUGGAUUAAUUCGAUGCAACGCGAAAAACCUUACCUACCCUUGACAUGUCAGGAAGUCCGGAGAGAUCUGGAUGUGCCCGAAAGGGAACCUGAACACAGGUGCUGCAUGGCUGUCGUCAGCUCGUGUCGUGAGAUGUUGGGUUAAGCCCCGCAACGAGCGCAACCCUUGUCAUUAGUUGCUACGCAAGAGCACUCUAAUGAGACUGCCGGUGACAAACCGGAGGAAGGUGGGGAUGACGUCAAGUCCUCAUGGCCCUUAUGGGUAGGGCUUCACACGUCAUACAAUGGUACAUACAGAGGGCCGCCAACCCGCGAGGGGGAGCUAAUCCCAGAAAGUGUAUCGUAGUCCGGAUCGCAGUCUGCAACUCGACUGCGUGAAGUUGGAAUCGCUAGUAAUCGCGGAUCAGCAUGUCGCGGUGAAUACGUUCCCGGGUCU
RNAcentral lists this ribosomal RNA (1350 nucleotides) under uncultured bacterium. RNAcentral describes it as "bacterial SSU rRNA". It matches the Rfam family "Bacterial small subunit ribosomal RNA", at positions 28 to 1381 of the family's 1533-position model. The record is from RNAcentral.